This 67-nucleotide transfer RNA is filed under the name Spinolyprops cribricollis. RNAcentral's name for it is "tRNA-Val". Lineage: Eukaryota; Metazoa; Arthropoda; Insecta; Coleoptera; Tenebrionidae. The record is from RNAcentral.
CAAUUUAGAGCUUGAGUUGAAGCGUUUUAGUUACAUUAAAGAGUUAAUCUUAAAAGAUUUAAAUUGA